GACGAACGCUGGCGGCGUGCCUAAUACAUGCAAGUUGAGCGAUGAAGAUUGGUGCUUGCACCAAUUUGAAGAGCAGCGAGCGGGUGAGUAACGCGUGGGGAAUCUGCCUUUGAGCGGGGGACAACAUUUGGAAACGAAUGCUAAUACCGCAUAACAACUUUAAACAUAAGUUUUAAGUUUGAAAGAUGCAAUUGCAUCACUCAAAGAUGAUCCCGCGUUGUAUUAGCUAGUUGGUGAGGUAAAGGCUCACCAAGGCGAUGAUACAUAGCCGACCUGAGAGGGUGAUCGGCCACAUUGGGACUGAGACACGGCCCAAACUCCUACGGGAGGCAGCAGUAGGGAAUCUUCGGCAAUGGGCGAAAGUCUGACCGAGCAACGCCGCGUGAGUGAAGAAGGUUUUCGGAUCGUAAAACUCUGUUGGUAGAGAAGAACGUUGGUGAGAGUGGAAAGCUCAUCAAGUGACGGUAACUACCCAGAAAGGGACGGCUAACUACGUG
Molecule: ribosomal RNA, 497 nt
Filed under: uncultured bacterium
Lineage: Bacteria
Description: partial 16S ribosomal RNA
Rfam family: Bacterial small subunit ribosomal RNA
Source: RNAcentral